Molecule: ribosomal RNA, 778 nt
Filed under: Streptomyces sp.
Lineage: Bacteria; Bacillati; Actinomycetota; Actinomycetes; Kitasatosporales; Streptomycetaceae
Description: bacterial SSU rRNA
Rfam family: Bacterial small subunit ribosomal RNA
Source: RNAcentral
GUGGGCAAUCUGCCCUGCACUCUGGGACAAGCCCUGGAAACGGGGUCUAAUACCGGAUACUGACCCGCCUGGGCAUCCAGGCGGUUCGAAAGCUCCGGCGGUGCAGGAUGAGCCCGCGGCCUAUCAGCUUGUUGGUGAGGUAACGGCUCACCAAGGCGACGACGGGUAGCCGGCCUGAGAGGGCGACCGGCCACACUGGGACUGAGACACGGCCCAGACUCCUACGGGAGGCAGCAGUGGGGAAUAUUGCACAAUGGGCGCAAGCCUGAUGCAGCGACGCCGCGUGAGGGAUGACGGCCUUCGGGUUGUAAACCUCUUUCAGCAGGGAAGAAGCGCAAGUGACGGUACCUGCAGAAGAAGCGCCGGCUAACUACGUGCCAGCAGCCGCGGUAAUACGUAGGGCGCGAGCGUUGUCCGGAAUUAUUGGGCGUAAAGAGCUCGUAGGCGGCUUGUCGCGUCGGUUGUGAAAGCCCGGGGCUUAACCCCGGGUCUGCAGUCGAUACGGGCAGGCUAGAGUUCGGUAGGGGAGAUCGGAAUUCCUGGUGUAGCGGUGAAAUGCGCAGAUAUCAGGAGGAACACCGGUGGCGAAGGCGGAUCUCUGGGCCGAUACUGACGCUGAGGAGCGAAAGCGUGGGGAGCGAACAGGAUUAGAUACCCUGGUAGUCCACGCCGUAAACGGUGGGCACUAGGUGUGGGCGACAUUCCACGUCGUCCGUGCCCGCAGCUAACGCAUUAAGUGCCCCGCCUGGGGAGUACGGCCGCAAGGCUAAAAACUCAA